RNAcentral lists this ribosomal RNA (473 nucleotides) under uncultured bacterium. RNAcentral describes it as "bacterial SSU rRNA". It matches the Rfam family "Bacterial small subunit ribosomal RNA", at positions 334 to 802 of the family's 1533-position model. The record is from RNAcentral.
GCUUCCUACGGGAGGCUGCAGUAGGGAAUAUUGGGCAAUGGAGGCAACUCUGACCCAGCCAUGCCGCGUGCAGGAAGACGGUCCUCUGGAUUGUAAACUGCUUUUGAAUGGGAAGAAUGUGCUCCUUGCGAGGUGUAAUGACGGUACCAUUAGAAUAAGCCACGGCUAACUACGUGCCAGCAGCCGCGGUAAUACGUAGGUGGCGAGCGUUAUCCGGAUUUAUUGGGUUUAAAGGGUGCGUAGGCGGCUUAAUAAGUCGGUGGUUAAAAGUAGCAGCUUAACUGUUUUACAUGCCAUCGAUACUGUUGAGCUUGAGAUAUUUGGAGGCAGCUAGAAUUUCCGGUGUAGCGGUGAAAUGCAUAGAUACCGGAAGGAAUACCAAUUGCGAAGGCAGGUUGCUACGAAUAAACUGACGCUGAUGCACUGGUAACGUGGGGAUCAAACAGGAUUAGAUACCCUUGUAGUCGAAUUCU